AUGACGCAACACAAAAAUUCAUGUGAGGACAAAAGACGUCCCACUCACUCGAUGGCUAAAGACCAACUCUGCGUUGAUAACA
This is a long non-coding RNA of Pogonomyrmex barbatus (red harvester ant), 82 nucleotides long. The record is from RefSeq and is a predicted model, not a curated record. Lineage: Eukaryota; Metazoa; Arthropoda; Insecta; Hymenoptera; Formicidae.